Molecule: transfer RNA, 80 nt
Filed under: Aspergillus taichungensis
Lineage: Eukaryota; Fungi; Ascomycota; Eurotiomycetes; Eurotiales; Aspergillaceae
Description: tRNA-Gly
Rfam family: tRNA
About the family: Transfer RNA (tRNA) molecules are approximately 80 nucleotides in length. Their secondary structure includes four short double-helical elements and three loops (D, anti-codon, and T loops).
Source: RNAcentral
GCUCUGGUGGUGUAGCGGUAACAUCGUUCUCUUCCAUUACAGGCGAAGAACAGCUCCGGGUUCGACUCCCGGCCAGUGCA